This 164-nucleotide ribosomal RNA is filed under the name uncultured bacterium. Its description in RNAcentral is "partial 16S ribosomal RNA". It matches the Rfam family "Bacterial small subunit ribosomal RNA", at positions 355 to 511 of the family's 1533-position model. The record is from RNAcentral.
UAGGGAAUCUUCCACAAUGGACGCAAGUCUGAUGGAGCAACGCCGCGUGAGUGAAGAAGGGUUUCGGCUCGUAAAGCUCUGUUGUUAAAGAAGAACGUGGGUAAGAGUAACUGUUUACCCAGUGACGGUAUUUAACCAGAAAGCCACGGCUAACUACGUGCUAG